This 278-nucleotide long non-coding RNA is filed under the name Populus tremula. RNAcentral describes it as "long non-coding RNA (PTRE_LNC000304)". Lineage: Eukaryota; Viridiplantae; Streptophyta; Magnoliopsida; Malpighiales; Salicaceae. The record is from RNAcentral.
GGACUGAUUUGGGUUUAGGAGGGCACUUGUUCUGAAACAGAGGAGAUGAGGUUUUGUGUCUGUGAUGAGGGUUGAUUUCGGGUGACUUGGACCUCGUUUCAAGGGUCACUAUGGUGAGUGGUGGUUGAGGAGGCUGUGUGGGCUGACUUGUUGGUGAGAUAUGGACUCUGGUUCGGGGGCUUGUGGGAGAUGAAGUCAGGUUUGUUUUUGGGUGAUGAGCUGCAACGGGUUCAGUCUAUCAUGGGUUGGAGAGAGAGGCUGGCGGUGCUGAGUGGGUG